This 158-nucleotide small nuclear RNA is filed under the name Aotus nancymaae (Ma's night monkey). RNAcentral's name for it is "U2 spliceosomal RNA (ENSANAG00000001617.1)". The stretch from base 18 to 158 matches the Rfam family "U2 spliceosomal RNA". Rfam says of the family: U2 is a small nuclear RNA (snRNA) component of the spliceosome (involved in pre-mRNA splicing). Complementary binding between U2 snRNA (in an area lying towards the 5' end but 3' to hairpin I) and the branchpoint sequence (BPS) of the intron results the bulging out of an unpaired adenosine, on the BPS, which initiates a nucleophilic attack at the intronic 5' splice site, thus starting the first of two transesterification reactions that mediate splicing. The record is from RNAcentral. Lineage: Eukaryota; Metazoa; Chordata; Mammalia; Primates; Aotidae.
AUAUUGUCCUCAGAUAGAGGACGUAUCGGAUAUUAAACUAAUAGGUAGGACAAUAUGUUAAAUGGAUUUUUGGAGCAGGGAGAUGGAAUAGGAGCUUACUCCAUCCACUCCACGCAUCGACCUGGUAUUGCAGUACUGCCAGGAACGGUGCACCCCCU